UGAAAUAUAGCUCAGUGGUAGAGUGCCGUGCUUAGCAUGCAUGAGGAACUGGGUUCAAUCCCCAGUACUUCCA
Molecule: transfer RNA, 73 nt
Filed under: Camelus bactrianus (Bactrian camel)
Lineage: Eukaryota; Metazoa; Chordata; Mammalia; Artiodactyla; Camelidae
Also listed under: 2 other names
Rfam family: tRNA
About the family: Transfer RNA (tRNA) molecules are approximately 80 nucleotides in length. Their secondary structure includes four short double-helical elements and three loops (D, anti-codon, and T loops).
Source: Rfam by way of RNAcentral